GCUCCUGUGGCGCAAUCGGUUAGCGCGUGGUCUUAUACAACAGUAUGCAGCGAAGCAAUGCUGAGGUUGUGAGUUCGAGCCUCACCAGGAACA
RNAcentral lists this transfer RNA (93 nucleotides) under Salmo salar (Atlantic salmon). It matches the Rfam family "tRNA". Rfam says of the family: Transfer RNA (tRNA) molecules are approximately 80 nucleotides in length. Their secondary structure includes four short double-helical elements and three loops (D, anti-codon, and T loops). Lineage: Eukaryota; Metazoa; Chordata; Actinopteri; Salmoniformes; Salmonidae. The record is from Rfam by way of RNAcentral.